Molecule: ribosomal RNA, 472 nt
Filed under: uncultured bacterium
Lineage: Bacteria
Description: partial 16S ribosomal RNA
Rfam family: Bacterial small subunit ribosomal RNA
Source: RNAcentral
GACGAACGCUGGCGGCGUGCUUAACACAUGCAAGUCGAGCGGAAAGGCCCUUCGGGGUACUCGAGCGGCGAACGGGUGAGUAACACGUGAGUAAUCUGCCCUUGGCUUUGGGAUAACUACCGGAAACGGUGGCUAAUACCGGAUACGACAACCGUCUGCAUGGGCUGGUUGUGGAAAGUUUUUUCGGCCAGGGAUGUGCUCGCGGCCUAUCAGCUUGUUGGUGGGGUAAUGGCCUACCAAGGCUUCGACGGGUAGCCGGCCUGAGAGGGUGACCGGCCACACUGGGACUGAGACACGGCCCAGACGCCUACGGGAGGCAGCAGUGGGGAGUAUUGGACAAUGGGCGGAAGCCUGAUCCAGCAACGCCGCGUGAGGGAUGACGGCCGUCGGGUUGUAAACCUCUUUCAGUACCGACGAAGCGCCGAUGAUGGUGGUGACGGUAGGUACAGAAGAAGCACCGGCCAACUACGUG